GGUAAGCAGAGUUAAAAUACAGGCAGUCCUCGGCUUAUGACCACAACUGGGACCAGAAUUUCCGUUCCUAAGCAAAGCAACUGCCAAUUCAGCAACCGACUUUGGGCAGG
Pantherophis guttatus is the source of this 110-nucleotide non-coding RNA. NCBI's taxonomy places the organism in Eukaryota, Metazoa, Chordata, Lepidosauria, Squamata, Colubridae. The record is from RefSeq and is a predicted model, not a curated record.